GAAACACGGACCAAGGAGUUUAUCGUGUGCGCAAGUCAUUGGGUGUUGAAAACUCAAAGGCGCAAUGAAAGUAAAGAAUCCGCAAGGAUACGACGUGUGAUCUGAGCAAUCACGAUUGCCUGGAGCAACAUGGCCCCAUUCUGGUCGCUUGCGACGGGGUGGAGGAAGAGCGUACGCGGUGAGACCCGAAAGAUGGUGAACUAUUCCUGAGCAGGAUGAAGCCAGAGGAAACUCUGGUGGAAGUCCGAAGCGAUUCUGACGUGCAAAUCGAUCGUCUGACUUGGGUAUAGGGGCGAAAGACUAAUCGAACCAUCUAGUAGCUGGUUCCUUCCGA
Molecule: ribosomal RNA, 334 nt
Filed under: Pratylenchus penetrans
Lineage: Eukaryota; Metazoa; Nematoda; Chromadorea; Rhabditida; Pratylenchidae
Description: partial large subunit ribosomal RNA
Rfam family: Eukaryotic large subunit ribosomal RNA
Source: RNAcentral